AAAUUGAAGAGUUUGAUCAUGGCUCAGAUUGAACGCUGGCGGCAGGCCUAACACAUGCAAGUCGAACGGUAACAGGAAACAGCUUGCUGUUUCGCUGACGAGUGGCGGACGGGUGAGUAAUGUCUGGGAAACUGCCUGAUGGAGGGGGAUAACUACUGGAAACGGUAGCUAAUACCGCAUAACGUCGCAAGACCAAAGAGGGGGACCUUCGGGCCUCUUGCCAUCGGAUGUGCCCAGAUGGGAUUAGCUUGUUGGUGGGGUAACGGCUCACCAAGGCGACGAUCCCUAGCUGGUCUGAGAGGAUGACCAGCCACACUGGAACUGAGACACGGUCCAGACUCCUACGGGAGGCAGCAGUGGGGAAUAUUGCACAAUGGGCGCAAGCCUGAUGCAGCCAUGCCGCGUGUAUGAAGAAGGCCUUCGGGUUGUAAAGUACUUUCAGCGGGGAGGAAGGGAGUAAAGUUAAUACCUUUGCUCAUUGACGUUACCCGCAGAAGAAGCACCGGCUAACUCCGUGCCAGCAGCCGCGGUAAUACGGAGGGUGCAAGCGUUAAUCGGAAUUACUGGGCGUAAAGCGCACGCAGGCGGUUUGUUAAGUCAGAUGUGAAAUCCCCGGGCUCAACCUGGGAACUGCAUCUGAUACUGGCAAGCUUGAGUCUCGUAGAGGGGGGUAGAAUUCCAGGUGUAGCGGUGAAAUGCGUAGAGAUCUGGAGGAAUACCGGUGGCGAAGGCGGCCCCUGGACGAAGACUGACGCUCAGGUGCGAAAGCGUGGGGAGCAAACAGGAUUAGAUACCCUGGUAGUCCACGCCGUAAACGAUGUCGACUUGGAGGUUGUGCCCUUGAGGCGUGGCUUCCGGAGCUAACGCGUUAAGUCGACCGCCUGGGGAGUACGGCCGCAAGGUUAAAACUCAAAUGAAUUGACGGGGGCCCGCACAAGCGGUGGAGCAUGUGGUUUAAUUCGAUGCAACGCGAAGAACCUUACCUGGUCUUGACAUCCACGGAAGUUUUCAGAGAUGAGAAUGUGCCUUCGGGAACCGUGAGACAGGUGCUGCAUGGCUGUCGUCAGCUCGUGUUGUGAAAUGUUGGGUUAAGUCCCGCAACGAGCGCAACCCUUAUCCUUUGUUGCCAGCGGUCCGGCCGGGAACUCAAAGGAGACUGCCAGUGAUAAACUGGAGGAAGGUGGGGAUGACGUCAAGUCAUCAUGGCCCUUACGACCAGGGCUACACACGUGCUACAAUGGCGCAUACAAAGAGAAGCGACCUCGCGAGAGCAAGCGGACCUCAUAAAGUGCGUCGUAGUCCGGAUUGGAGUCUGCAACUCGACUCCAUGAAGUCGGAAUCGCUAGUAAUCGUGGAUCAGAAUGCCACGGUGAAUACGUUCCCGGGCCUUGUACACACCGCCCGUCACACCAUGGGAGUGGGUUGCAAAAGAAGUAGGUAGCUUAACCUUCGGGAGGGCGCUUACCACUUUGUGAUUCAUGACUGGGGUGAAGUCGUAACAAGGUAACCGUAGGGGAACCUGCAGUUGGAUCACCUCCUUACCUUAAAGAAGC
RNAcentral lists this ribosomal RNA (1553 nucleotides) under Escherichia coli O104:H4 str. 2009EL-2071. Its description in RNAcentral is "bacterial SSU rRNA". It matches the Rfam family "Bacterial small subunit ribosomal RNA". Lineage: Bacteria; Pseudomonadati; Pseudomonadota; Gammaproteobacteria; Enterobacterales; Enterobacteriaceae. The record is from RNAcentral.